AUGAGUUUCACUGGCUGUAGAUUAGAUCGUGAAAAUGAUUUGACGAUUGAGAGGCUAGGGGAGCACAAGAACCGGGUGCUCUCGGCGACUGACAACUGGCAAGCAGUUGAGGUAGCCAGGAGCCAUCCAUCAGAAAAGAAAAUUGAUACGUGGGAGGACCCUGGGUGGCGGGAUGCCCAUCAGGUGGUUGCUGUGGGAAAUGACAGUGCUCAGUCGACACAGGAUGACAUGAUAAAGGAAGUUGUUAGCACCGACAGACGAGCAGAUGGCUUUCGUGAUCCCGGCGAUAGCAAGGUAGCUGAAGAGCAGGAUGGACAAGGGAUGGAUGAAAAAGAGUUGCAGGAUGCAACUGAGCUAGAGCACAAAGAUGGAUCUGGUGCAUCAGAGAAUAACAUUGCUGGAGCUCAUACUACUGCAAACCUGACAUCGUCUUUGGAAAAGGAAAGCGCUGCUGAUACAUUAUCUGAUCAUGAUAGUAUCAAUGCUGAUCUCGCCACAUCAGCAAGUGGCACUGGUCAUUCCGCAACUUCCCCAGAUGCUACAAUCCGCAUUAUCAAGGACCAAUUGAUAAGAGCAAAGACAUAA
RNAcentral lists this ribosomal RNA (585 nucleotides) under Triticum aestivum (bread wheat). RNAcentral's name for it is "partial small subunit ribosomal RNA". The record is from RNAcentral. Lineage: Eukaryota; Viridiplantae; Streptophyta; Magnoliopsida; Poales; Poaceae.